Molecule: ribosomal RNA, 380 nt
Filed under: uncultured eukaryote
Lineage: Eukaryota
Description: partial 18S ribosomal RNA
Rfam family: Eukaryotic small subunit ribosomal RNA
Source: RNAcentral
CAAUAGCGUAUAUUAAAGUUGUUGCGGUUAAAAAGCUCGUAGUUGGAUUUCUGCCGAGGACGACCGGUCCGCCCUCCGGGUGAGUAUCUGGCUCGGCCUGGGCAUCUUCUUGGAGAACGUAGCUGCACUUGGCUGUGUGGUGCGGUAUUCAGGACUUUUACUUUGAGGAAAUUAGAGUGUUUCAAGCAGGCACACGCCUUGAAUACAUUAGCAUGGAAUAAUAAGAUAGGACCUCGGUUCUAUUUUGUUGGUUUCUAGAUCUGAGGUAAUGAUUAAUAGGGAUAGUUGGGGGCAUUCGUAUUUAACUGUCAGAGGUGAAAUUCUUGGAUUUGUUAAAGGCGGACUACUGCGAAAGCAUUUGCCAAGGAUGUUUUCAUUGA